Molecule: ribosomal RNA, 418 nt
Filed under: uncultured bacterium
Lineage: Bacteria
Description: bacterial SSU rRNA
Rfam family: Bacterial small subunit ribosomal RNA
Source: RNAcentral
UGGGGAAUAUUGGGCAAUGGGCGCAAGCCUGACCCAGCAACGCCGCGUGAAGGAAGAAGGCUUUCGGGUUGUAAACUUCUUUUCUCAGGGACGAAGCAAGUGACGGUACCUGAGGAAUAAGCCACGGCUAACUACGUGCCAGCAGCCGCGGUAAUACGUAGGUGGCAAGCGUUAUCCGGAUUUACUGGGUGUAAAGGGCGUGUAGGCGGGGAAGCAAGUCAGAUGUGAAAACCACGGGCCCAACCUGUGGCCUGCAUUUGAAACUGUUUUUCUUGAGUACUGGAGAGGCAGACGGAAUUCCUAGUGUAGCGGUGAAAUGCGUAGAUAUUAGGAGGAACACCAGUGGCGAAGGCGGUCUGCUGGACAGCAACUGACGCUGAGGCGCGAAAGCGUGGGGAGCAAAUAGGAUUAGAUACCC